AGAGACAGCAGUAGCCGCGGGAAUACAGAGGGUGCGAGCGUUAAUCGGAUUUACUGGGCGUAAAGCGUGCGUAGGCGGCUUUUUAAGUCGGAUGUGAAAUCCCUGAGCUUAACUUAGGAAUUGCAUUCGAUACUGGGAAGCUAGAGUAUGGGAGAGGAUGGUAGAAUUCCAGGUGUAGCGGUGAAAUGCGUAGAGAUCUGGAGGAAUACCGAUGGCGAAGGCAGCCAUCUGGCCUAACACUGACGCUGAGGUACGAAAGCAUGGGGAGCAAACAGGAUUAGAUACCCGCGUAGUCCCUGUCUCUUAUAC
Molecule: ribosomal RNA, 309 nt
Filed under: uncultured bacterium
Lineage: Bacteria
Description: partial 16S ribosomal RNA
Rfam family: Bacterial small subunit ribosomal RNA
Source: RNAcentral